RNAcentral lists this ribosomal RNA (361 nucleotides) under uncultured microorganism. Its description in RNAcentral is "bacterial SSU rRNA". It matches the Rfam family "Archaeal small subunit ribosomal RNA", at positions 330 to 686 of the family's 1478-position model. The record is from RNAcentral.
GCGCAGCAGGCGAGAAACUUUACAAUGCGGGAAACCGCGAUAAGGGGACACCGAGUGCCAGCAUAUUACGUUGGCUGUCCACAUGUGUAAACGGCAUGUGUUAGCAAGGGCCGGGCAAGACCGGUGCCAGCCGCCGCGGUAACACCGGGCGGCCCGAGUGGGUAAUCACUUUUAUUGGGUCUAAAGGGUCCGUAGCCGGUUUGAUCAGUUCUUCGGGAAAUCUGACAGCUCAACUGUUAGGCUUCCGGGGGAAUACUGUCAGACUUGGGGACCGGGAGAGGUAAGAGGGUACUACAGGGGUAGGAGUGAAAUCUUGUAAUCCCUGUGGGACCACCAGUGGCGAAGGCGGUCUUACCAGAAC